RNAcentral lists this long non-coding RNA (1300 nucleotides) under Sus scrofa (pig). RNAcentral's name for it is "lncRNA (ENSSSCG00005018930.1)". Lineage: Eukaryota; Metazoa; Chordata; Mammalia; Artiodactyla; Suidae. The record is from RNAcentral.
GGGGGAGGAAACAAAAGAGCAGCACGAGGUGUUCCACGGGGUUUUCUCUAAUUCGCACUAAUUUCAGACUUUUCACAGGGAGAGGUCAAAAGUGGCGACGGCCCACAUUCUCACGCAGACGGGGCUGCACUUCAGCCAUCACAGCCCGUCCCACUGCCUCCUGCUGAGGUGCCUCUGCGGUGGAAAUGAGCGCGUCUAAGCCGAUGACAGUAGAAGAAUAACGUACAGCGAAGCUUGGCUUUGCCCCGCACUUGCUGUCGGGCCGGUCCUCGACCUUGCGUGGCGAGGCAAGGCUCAUUACCCGGGUGGCUUGAUUCGUGUCUCUCGGGCUAGAAAAUGCGAACCGCCACAGAUUUCUCCCAGCGUGACUCUUGGUGGCACGUGUCACACCACGGAGAGAUGAGGCGAGGAGUUCUCCUGUUGGCUGGUUAUUACCAACUACUGAGCAGAGGACACAUGUUGGCUUGUUCUUCGAUCACAUGAAUUACCUUGCUGAAUGGAAUAAUGGUUUUUGAAAAAUGGAAGCAGCAUCCUUCAGCUCUUUUGGGAGCCUCCUCACAACGCACUGGGUGCUGAUGAGCUUUCAUAAUUGCUGUAAUUAAUAAUAUUUCAUUCUUAGCAUUUUCAGUGUUACAUCUUGUCUUUGGACAAUUGACUGACUACGUCCAGCCCGGAUUUGCAGCCUUUGCCCAUGUCCGGGGUGUGAAGACAGCUUCUGCUUCCAGCUGUCAUCGGCCACUGCACGUGGCGUUGGGAAGCGGCGUGUGGGGUGGACUUCUCACUCUUCUAUAUUGUUGAAUCACACUGAUUCCAAGUACAUAGCCUCAAGGAUACAGAAGCAGUAACAUGUACUUAAGUAAUUGGAAAGUGGCCUUUUUAAUAUCUGUUACCUUUGUUUUUACGAUCACUGAAUGGUUAGUUUACCUGAUUUACUUUUGAGUGAUGGUCCUAUUUAGUAAUUGGCUUGCUGAAUUCCUAAAGUUUCCAGUUCCUAAGGUUUCAAUAAUCUGCUCUCUCCAGCUACUGAGAGCCCCAUCCGGGGCGCCCCUCCUCCCCUGAGCUGUUCCCAAGUUUUACAAUCUUCCCUCAAGUCAGGGACAUAACAGCUUAUAAAUAAAGGGCUAAAACAUCCUAGCAAAAGGAAGGAGGCUCCUGGGGUUUUUAAAAUACUGUAUGUAGUGCUGUCAUGAUUCUCAUUGCUUUGUUUCCAAGUAGUAUUCCACCUUAAGUUCAUACUGGGUAGAAUGAAUGGUUUUCAAGGUGCAAUAAUAAAGGCUAAGCUUUCAGUUCCCUUUUUUAA